This 814-nucleotide ribosomal RNA is filed under the name Arachnidicola thailandica. Its description in RNAcentral is "LSU rRNA". It matches the Rfam family "Eukaryotic large subunit ribosomal RNA", at positions 114 to 958 of the family's 3401-position model. Lineage: Eukaryota; Fungi; Ascomycota; Sordariomycetes; Hypocreales; Cordycipitaceae. The record is from RNAcentral.
UUUGAAAUCUGGCCCCCAGGGCCCGAGUUGUAAUUUGCAGAGGAUGCUUUUGGCGAGGUGCCUUCCGAGUUCCCUGGAACGGGACGCCGCAGAGGGUGAGAGCCCCGUCUGGUCGGCCACCGAGCCUCUGUAAAGCUCCUUCGACGAGUCGAGUAGUUUGGGAAUGCUGCUCAAAAUGGGAGGUAUAUGUCUUCUAAAGCUAAAUACUGGCCAGAGACCGAUAGCGCACAAGUAGAGUGAUCGAAAGAUGAAAAGCACUUUGAAAAGAGGGUUAAACAGUACGUGAAAUUGUUGAAAGGGAAGCGCCCAUGACCAGACCUGGGCCCGGUGAAUCAUCCGGCGUUCUCGCCGGUGCACUUUGCCGGGCCCAGGCCAGCAUCAGCCUGGCGCGGGGGGGAAAGGCUGUGGGAACGUGGCUCCCCCGGGAGUGUUAUAGCCCACCGCGCAAUACCCUGCGCCGGACUGAGGUACGCGCGUUCGCAAGGAUGCUGGCGUAAUGGUCAUCAGCGACCCGUCUUGAAACACGGACCAAGGAGUCGUCUUCGUAUGCGAGUGUUCGGGUGUCAAACCCCUACGCGUAAUGAAAGUGAACGCAGGUGAGAGCUUCGGCGCAUCAUCGACCGAUCCUGAUGUUCUCGGAUGGAUUUGAGUAGGAGCAUACGGGGCCGGACCCGAAAGAAGGUGAACUAUGCCUGUGUAGGGUGAAGCCAGAGGAAACUCUGGUGGAGGCUCGCAGCGGUUCUGACGUGCGAAUCGAUCGUCAAACAUGGGCAUGGGGGCGAAAGACUAAUCGAACCUUCUAGUAGCUGGUUUC